UAUUGAAAAUAGCAAACCUAUUGAAAAGUAGGGACGCAAAGCUAUGGGUCUAAUGGAUGAAUUAUCAAUCCGAUGAUUGCCAGGUUGCCAAA
Molecule: non-coding RNA, 92 nt
Filed under: Clostridium sp.
Lineage: Bacteria; Bacillati; Bacillota; Clostridia; Eubacteriales; Clostridiaceae
Also listed under: 1 other name
Description: c-di-GMP sequence
Rfam family: c-di-GMP-I riboswitch aptamer
About the family: GEMM was predicted in a large-scale screen for bacterial structured RNA regulatory elements. Genes associated with GEMM are involved in a diverse array of functions, including chemotaxis regulation, signal transduction, secretion and chitin.
Source: RNAcentral